UGGGGAAUAUUUGACAAUGGGUGAAAGCCUGAUCCAGCCAUGCCGCGUGUGUGAAGAAGGCCUUUUGGUUGUAAAGCACUUUAAGCGAGGAGGAGGCUACUUAGAUUAAUACUCUAGGAUAGUGGACGUUACUCGCAGAAUAAGCACCGGCUAACUCUGUGCCAGCAGCCGCGGUAAUACAGAGGGUGCGAGCGUUAAUCGGAUUUACUGGGCGUAAAGCGUGCGUAGGCGGCUUUUUAAGUCGGAUGUGAAAUCCCUGGGCUUAACUUAGGAAUUGCAUUCGAUACUGGGAAGCUAGAGUAUGGGAGAGGAUGGUAGAAUUCCAGGUGUAGCGGUGAAAUGCGUAGAGAUCUGGAGGAAUACCGAUGGCGAAGGCAGCCAUCUGGCAUAAUACUGACGAUGAGGUACGAAAGCAUGGGGAGCAAACAGA
Molecule: ribosomal RNA, 430 nt
Filed under: Acidobacteriota bacterium
Lineage: Bacteria; Pseudomonadati; Acidobacteriota
Description: Acidobacteria bacterium partial 16S ribosomal RNA
Rfam family: Bacterial small subunit ribosomal RNA
Source: RNAcentral